GUGCUUGCUUCAGCAGCACACAUACUAAAAUUGGAACGAUGCAGAGAAGAUUAACAUGGCCCUGCACAGGGAUGACAGGCAAAUUCAUGAAGCGUUCCAUAUUUUA
Canis lupus familiaris (dog) is the source of this 106-nucleotide non-coding RNA. NCBI's taxonomy places the organism in Eukaryota, Metazoa, Chordata, Mammalia, Carnivora, Canidae. The record is from Rfam.